Molecule: ribosomal RNA, 494 nt
Filed under: uncultured bacterium
Lineage: Bacteria
Description: partial 16S ribosomal RNA
Rfam family: Bacterial small subunit ribosomal RNA
Source: RNAcentral
GACGAACGCUGGCGGCGUGCUUAACACAUGCAAGUCGAACGGUGAAGCGCCUUCCUUUUUGGUGGGUGUGGAUGAGUGGCGAACGGGUGAGUAACACGUGAGUAACCUGCCCCCUUCUUCUGGAUAACCGCAUGAAAGUGUGGCUAAUACGGGAUAUUCUGGGUCUGUCGCAUGAUGGGUCUGGGAAAGAUAUUGUUUCGGUGGGGGAUGGGCUCGCGGCCUAUCAGCUUGUUGGUGGGGUGAUGGCCUACCAAGGCGGUGACGGGUAGCCGGCCUGAGAGGGUGGACGGUCACACUGGGACGGAGACACGGCCCAGACUCCUACGGGAGGCAGCAGUGGGGAAUAUUGCACAAUGGGCGCAAGCCUGAUGCAGCGACGCCGCGUGAGGGAUGGAGGCCUUCGGGUUGUGAACCUCCUUCGCCAGUGAAGCAGGCCUGCCUCGUUUGUGGGUGGGUUGACGGUAGCUGGAUAAGAAGCGCCGGCUAACUACGUG